RNAcentral lists this non-coding RNA (229 nucleotides) under Clostridium fallax. RNAcentral's name for it is "T-box sequence". It matches the Rfam family "T-box leader". From Rfam's summary of the family: Uncharged tRNA acts as the effector for transcription antitermination of genes in the T-box leader family. The record is from RNAcentral. Lineage: Bacteria; Bacillati; Bacillota; Clostridia; Eubacteriales; Clostridiaceae.
AAAUUAGUAAAGAAGGGGAAGAGUAUUAUAGAAUACAGUUUUUAGAGAGGGAAUACCGUAGGCUGCAAGUAUUUCUAAAUAUGACUAUAAGAAAACUAUCCUGGAGCUAUGAUUAAUUAGCUAUAUUUAGUGAAAUAUCAUCGGCGAAAGUCGUUAAGAAUAUAGAGAAGAAUUGAAUUGAUUUAAUUCAAUUUGGGUGGAACCACGGAUAUUUGCAUCCGUCCCAAGC